GACGAACGCUGGCGGCGUGCUUAACACAUGCAAGUCGAACGGAAAGGCCCUGCUUUUGUGGGGUGCUCGAGUGGCGAACGGGUGAGUAACACGUGAGUAACCUGCCCUUGACUUUGGGAUAACUUCAGGAAACUGGGGCUAAUACCGGAUAGGAGCUCCUGCUGCAUGGUGGGGGUUGGAAAGUUUCGGCGGUUGGGGAUGGACUCGCGGCUUAUCAGCUUGUUGGUGGGGUAGUGGCUUACCACGGCUUUGACGGGUAGCCGGCCUGAGAGGGUGACCGGCCACAUUGGGACUGAGAGACGGCCCAGACUCCUACGGGAGGCAGCAGUGGGGAAUAUUGCACAAUGGGCGGAAGCCUGAUGCAGCAACGCCGCGUGCGGGAUGACGGCCUUCGGGUUGUAAACCGCUUUCGCCUGUGACGAAGCGUGAGUGACGGUAAUGGGUAAAGAAGCACCGGCUAACUACGUG
This 468-nucleotide ribosomal RNA is filed under the name uncultured bacterium. Its description in RNAcentral is "partial 16S ribosomal RNA". It matches the Rfam family "Bacterial small subunit ribosomal RNA", at positions 28 to 507 of the family's 1533-position model. The record is from RNAcentral.